GGAGUUGUGCCUGAAGUAAAGGGCCACUUUGAUAGAGUGACUUAUGGGGGUUAAAGUCCCCCCAGCUCCU
RNAcentral lists this transfer RNA (70 nucleotides) under Triglops pingelii (ribbed sculpin). RNAcentral describes it as "tRNA-Ile". It matches the Rfam family "tRNA". Rfam says of the family: Transfer RNA (tRNA) molecules are approximately 80 nucleotides in length. Lineage: Eukaryota; Metazoa; Chordata; Actinopteri; Perciformes; Cottidae. The record is from RNAcentral.